CUGGACCACCACCUAUCACGUCGCAGACGCUCAACCAGUAUCCGGUCAAAUUACGGAGGACGGGGACCACUGUGAAAUACACCCAGCUCAGUAAGACCAUGGGCUCAAGUGACACAGAGCCCCGAGGUGUCUAAGACUCAUCAUCAGGUCAAGCUCUUCCUGGAGGGAGGGAGUCUGGAAACAGCGAAGAAUCUCAGGUAAAGGUGAUGGGACUGGGCUAGAGGCUCAUCUGUGAGAAAGAAAUGCCAGGGAGCGGCGCUGACGACAGGACGGGAGCUGGCGAGGGACUUACAGCCCAGUGGGCAGCGUCCAGGAUGCCAGAUAACAAAGUUGAAGAUAUUCUUAAUAUCGCCACAAGCAUUCCAAGAGAAGGGAUUCAGAAAAUGCACCAGGCCUCAGAGUCCAUUUAAGAAAACUGAGACAGGUUAAAGCCUCUGCCUUCGG
This is a long non-coding RNA of Mustela lutreola (European mink), 444 nucleotides long. RefSeq lists it as uncharacterized. The transcript is spliced from 3 exons. NCBI's taxonomy places the organism in Eukaryota, Metazoa, Chordata, Mammalia, Carnivora, Mustelidae. The record is from RefSeq and is a predicted model, not a curated record.